GGCAGGCUUAACACAUGCAAGUCGAGCGGAAACGAUGGGAGCUUGCUCCCAGGCGUCGAGCGGCGGACGGGUGAGUAACGCGUAGGAAUCUGCCCAGUAGAGGGGGAUAGCCCGGGGAAACCCGGAUUAAUACCGCAUACGCCCUACGGGGGAAAGGCCGGGAUCUUCGGACCGGUCACUAUUGGAGGAGCCUGCGUGAGAUUAGCUUGUUGGUGGGGUAAUGGCCUACCAAGGCGACGAUCUCUAGCUGGUCUGAGAGGAUGAUCA
RNAcentral lists this ribosomal RNA (267 nucleotides) under uncultured Phaeocystis. RNAcentral describes it as "partial Bacterial small subunit ribosomal RNA". It matches the Rfam family "Bacterial small subunit ribosomal RNA", at positions 41 to 306 of the family's 1533-position model. The record is from RNAcentral. Lineage: Eukaryota; Haptophyta; Phaeocystales; Phaeocystaceae.